Molecule: ribosomal RNA, 252 nt
Filed under: uncultured bacterium
Lineage: Bacteria
Description: partial 16S ribosomal RNA
Rfam family: Bacterial small subunit ribosomal RNA
Source: RNAcentral
UACGGAGGAUGCGAGCGUUAUCCGGAUUUAUUGGGUUUAAAGGGUGCGUAGGCGGAUCGUUAAGUCAGUGGUCAAAUUGAGGGGCUCAACCCCUUCCCGCCAUUGAAACUGGCGAUCUUGAGUGGAAGAGAAGUAUGCGGAAUGCGUGGUGUAGCGGUGAAAUGCAUAGAUAUCACGCAGAACCCCGAUUGCGAAGGCAGCAUGCCGGCUUCCUACUGACGCUGAAGCACGAAAGCGUGGGAAUCGAACAGG